RNAcentral lists this transfer RNA (71 nucleotides) under Dipodomys ordii (Ord's kangaroo rat). It matches the Rfam family "tRNA". Rfam says of the family: Transfer RNA (tRNA) molecules are approximately 80 nucleotides in length. Their secondary structure includes four short double-helical elements and three loops (D, anti-codon, and T loops). Lineage: Eukaryota; Metazoa; Chordata; Mammalia; Rodentia; Heteromyidae. The record is from Rfam by way of RNAcentral.
GUGGUAGAGCACAGUGGUAGAGCACUUGCCUUGCAUGCAUGAGGCCCUGGGUUCGAUUCCUCAGCACCACA